UCACCAUUGGCACGGUCAAAAAGCAGAAGGUAAGGAAAUUUCCAAGGUAAAAUUUCAAACAACUUCUUCCAAAGGUACAUGGAAAUAGUAAGCUUGCUCCUUUCAAGAAACCACUGGAGAUCUUUCUGAAAAUCUCAACCUUCAACCCACAAAUGUAUCAAGACCUUUGCUGAUACAACUUGUGACAGAUCACACAGCUUCAGCUCAUUUUCUCCUGAUGGGGAUCAGUGCUACAGCCCAGGCAGUAAGAUUUGCUAACAUAGCUGUUAUCCUCCACAUGUGCCAUAUCAUAAAACGGGUGACUUCAUCAAUACGAAAGCGUUCCAUUCCAUCAAGAGAAAGCACAGCAAAAUGAGAUUUCCAGAAUUCACAGUGUUUUGCCUUCAAUUAACUUCCCUCUACAUUGAUCUUCCUCUUACUGACCUUUGGAUCUGUUCAAGACUUGCUGAAACAAAAAGCUGGAUAUCUGACAUUAAAUGGGUAAAAACACAAGCCAAGCUAUGAGCAGCAAUGUGGAACAAAAAGAGUGUUUACUCCACCCAGACUGAGUAACCUGCAGUGUAACCCUAGCUGGUCCAGUUUUUGUUAAAUCAUUAUUAGUUUUCUACCCAGUCUGCUUAAUGCUCAAUAUAUCAA
This is a long non-coding RNA of Stegostoma tigrinum, 636 nucleotides long. RefSeq lists it as uncharacterized. Lineage: Eukaryota; Metazoa; Chordata; Chondrichthyes; Orectolobiformes; Stegostomatidae. The transcript has 4 exons. The record is from RefSeq and is a predicted model, not a curated record.